RNAcentral lists this ribosomal RNA (380 nucleotides) under uncultured eukaryote. RNAcentral's name for it is "partial 18S ribosomal RNA". It matches the Rfam family "Eukaryotic small subunit ribosomal RNA", at positions 592 to 976 of the family's 1831-position model. The record is from RNAcentral.
CAAUAGCGUAUAUUAAAGUUGUUGCAGUUAAAAAGCUCGUAGUUGGAUUUGUGGCUGUCACGGGCGGCCUAUCACUUAGUGUUAGUGCUUGCCUGUGUCGCCAUCCUUGGGUGGAGCCCGUGUGGUAUUAGGUUGUCGUGCGGGGGAUGCCCAUCGUUUACUGUGAGAAAAUUAGAGUGUUCAAAGCAGGCUUAUGCCAUUGAAUAUGUUAGCAUGGAAUAAUAAGAUAGGACCUCGGUACUAUUUUGUUGGUUUGCGCACCGAGGUAAUGAUUAAUAGGGACAGUUGGGGGUAUUCGUAUUUCAUUGUCAGAGGUGAAAUUCUUGGAUUUCUGAAAGACGAACUACUGCGAAAGCAUUUACCAAGGAUGUUUUCAUUAA